GAUGAACGCUAGCGGCAGGCCUAAUACAUGCAAGUCGGACGGGAUUCAGGAGCUUGCUUCUGAUGAGAGUGGCGCACGGGUGCGUAACACGUAUGUAACCUACCUUUAUCAGGGGGAUAGCCUCUCGAAAGAGAGAUUAAGCCCGCAUAAAAUCACAGCACAGCAUUGUGUAAUGAUCAAAUAUUUAUAGGAUAAAGAUGGGCAUGCGGAACAUUAGCUAGAUGGCGGGGUAACGGCCCACCAUGGCGACGAUGUUUAGGGGAUCUGAGAGGAUGGCCCCCCACACUGGUACUGAGACACGGACCAGACUCCUACGGGAGGCAGCAGUAAGGAAUAUUGGUCAAUGGGCGGAAGCCUGAACCAGCCAUGCCGCGUGCAGGAAGACGGCCCUACGGGUUGUAAACUGCUUUUAGACGGGAAUAAACCCAGAUACGUGUAUCUGGCUGAAUGUACUGGAAGAAUAAGGAUCGGCUAACUCCGUG
RNAcentral lists this ribosomal RNA (482 nucleotides) under uncultured bacterium. Its description in RNAcentral is "partial 16S ribosomal RNA". It matches the Rfam family "Bacterial small subunit ribosomal RNA", at positions 28 to 507 of the family's 1533-position model. The record is from RNAcentral.